GCCACCACCGUGGGGUCACCGGCACCUUCUGGCCCUGGUGGCCUCGUUGGGGGCCGUGGCCACCACCGUGGUGUCACCGGCACCUUCUGGCCCUGGUGGCCUCGUUGGGCUCCUUGGGGGCCGUGGCCACCACCGUGGUGUCACCGGCACCUUCUGGCCCUGGUGGCCUCGUUGGGCUCCUUGGGGGCCGUGGCCACCACCGUGGUGUCACCGGCACCUUCUGGCCCUGGUGGCCUCGUUGGGCUCCUUGGGGGCCGUGGCCACCACCGUGGUGUCACCGGCACCUUCUGGCCCUGGUGGCCUCGUUGGGCUCCUUGGGGGCCGUGGCCACCACCGUGGUGUCACCGGCACCUUCUGGCCCUGGUGGCCUCGUUGGGCUCCUUGGGGGCCGUGGCCACCACCGUGGUGUCACCGGCACCUUCUGGCCCUGGUGGCCUCGUUGGGCUCCUUGGGGGCCGUGGCCACCACCGUGGUGUCACCUGGGGGGCCGUGGCCACCACCGUGGUGUCACCGGCACCUUCUGGCCCUGGUGGCCUCGUUGGGCUCCUUGGGGGCCGUGGCCACCACCGUGGUGUCACCGGCACCUUCUGGCCCUGGUGGCCUCGUUGGGCUCCUUGGGGGCCGUGGCCACCACCAUGGUGUCACCGGCACCUUCUGGCCCAACAGAGAGUUGGUUGGCCCUGGUGGCCUCGUGGGGCUCCUUGGGGGCCGUGGCGUCACCGGCACCUUCUGGCCCAACAGAGAGUCGACUGGCCCCGGUGGCCUCGUUGGGCUCCUUGGGGGCCAUGGCCCCCACUGUGGGGUCACCGGCACCUUCUGGCCCAACAGAGAGUCGGUUGGCCCUGGUGGCCUCGUUGGGCUCCUUGGGGGCCGUGACAGCGGUGGGUUUGGUGGCCGCCGGGGGUUACUACCUGAAGACCACGGCGUGUAAGAAGGGGGAGUACAACGUGCGCGACGCCGAAGGGUCUUCCGAAGCCACCUGUCUCCACCGGCACCGCCACCCCGACGUCUUCGGCAUCCAGCUCACCCAGCCCUGAACUGGGAAGGGGCCACCCUUGUCCCUCAAACCCAACUGGGAUGGAGGUUUUGGGGAAUCCUCUCUUCCAUCCCU
Molecule: long non-coding RNA, 1111 nt
Filed under: Calidris pugnax (ruff)
Lineage: Eukaryota; Metazoa; Chordata; Aves; Charadriiformes; Scolopacidae
Description: lncRNA (ENSCPUG00000002239.1)
Source: RNAcentral